UACAGAGGGUGCGAGCGUUGUUCGGAAUUAGCUGGGCGUAAAGCGCGCGCAGGCGGCCUUUAAGUCUGACGGUGAAAUGCCGGGGCUCAAGCCCCGUCGCCGCCGCGGAUCUGGGAGGCUGGAGACGAUGUAGGAGGCAAGCGGAAUUCCGGGUGUAGCGGUGGAAUGGCGUAGAGAUCCGGAAGAACGACCGGAGGCGCAAGGCGGCCUGGAGCUGGGCAUUGCUGGACGCUG
This 234-nucleotide ribosomal RNA is filed under the name uncultured bacterium. RNAcentral's name for it is "partial 16S ribosomal RNA". It matches the Rfam family "Bacterial small subunit ribosomal RNA", at positions 524 to 748 of the family's 1533-position model. The record is from RNAcentral.